This 517-nucleotide ribosomal RNA is filed under the name uncultured beta proteobacterium. Its description in RNAcentral is "partial 16S ribosomal RNA". It matches the Rfam family "Bacterial small subunit ribosomal RNA", at positions 360 to 871 of the family's 1533-position model. The record is from RNAcentral. Lineage: Bacteria; Pseudomonadati; Pseudomonadota; Betaproteobacteria.
AAUUUUGGACAAUGGGGGAAAUCUUGAUCCAGCAAUGCGGCGUGCAGGAUGAACGCCUUCGGGUUGUAAAGUGCUUUUGUGCGGAAAGAAAAGUCUUGGUUUAAUACCAAAAAAUCAUGACGGUACCGUAAGAAUAAGCCCCGGCUAACUACGUGCCAGCAGCCGGGGUAAUAUGGGGGGGGCAAGUUUUUAUCGGAAUUUCUGGGCGUAAAGCGUGCGCAGGGGGUUUUGUAAGUCAGGGGUGAAAUCCCCGGGCUCAACCUGGGAAUUGCCUUUGAGACUGCAAGUCUGGAGUGCGGCAGAGGGGGAUGGAAUUCCGCGUGUAGCAGUGAAAUGCGUAGAUAUGGGGAGGAACCCCGAUGGCGAAGGCAAUCCCCUGGGCUUACACUGACGCUCAUGCGCGAAAGCGUGGGGAGCAAACAGGAUUAGAUACCCGGGUAGUCCACCCCCUAAACGAAGUCAACUGGUUGUGGGGAAUUUAUUUUCUCAGUAACGAAGCUAACGCGUGAAGUUUCCG